GUGGGGAAUAUUGGACAAUGGGCGCAAGCCUGAUCCAGCCAUGCCGCGUGAGUGAUGAAGGCCUUAGGGUUGUAAAGCUCUUUCACCGAUGAAGAUAAUGACGGUAGUCGGAGAAGAAGCCCCGGCUAACUUCGUGCCAGCAGCCGCGGUAAUACGAAGGGGGCUAGCGUUGUUCGGAUUUACUGGGCGUAAAGCGCACGUAGGCGGUUUGUUAAGUCAGGGGUGAAAUCCCGGAGCUCAACUCCGGAACUGCCUUUGAUACUGGGUGUCUUGAGUAUGGAAGAGGUAAGUGGAAUUCCGAGUGUAGAGGUGAAAUUCGUAGAUAUUCGGAGGAACACCAGUGGCGAAGGCGGCUUACUGGUCCAUUACUGACGCUGAGGUGCGAAAGCGUGGGGAGCAAACAGGAUUAGAUACCCUAGUAGUCC
RNAcentral lists this ribosomal RNA (425 nucleotides) under uncultured bacterium. Its description in RNAcentral is "partial 16S ribosomal RNA". It matches the Rfam family "Bacterial small subunit ribosomal RNA", at positions 354 to 796 of the family's 1533-position model. The record is from RNAcentral.